Molecule: ribosomal RNA, 192 nt
Filed under: Lactobacillus delbrueckii
Lineage: Bacteria; Bacillati; Bacillota; Bacilli; Lactobacillales; Lactobacillaceae
Description: partial 16S ribosomal RNA
Rfam family: Bacterial small subunit ribosomal RNA
Source: RNAcentral
GACGUCAAGUCAUCAUGCCCCUUAUGACCUGGGCUACACACGUGCUACAAUGGGCAGUACAACGAGAAGCAAACCCGCGAGGGUAAGCGGAUCUCUUAAAGCUGCUCUCAGUUCGGACUGCAGGCUGCAACUCGCCUGCACGAAGCUGGAAUCGCUAGUAAUCGCGGAUCAGCACGCCGCGGUGAAUACGUU